RNAcentral lists this ribosomal RNA (456 nucleotides) under uncultured Opitutaceae bacterium. Its description in RNAcentral is "bacterial SSU rRNA". It matches the Rfam family "Bacterial small subunit ribosomal RNA", at positions 342 to 791 of the family's 1533-position model. Lineage: Bacteria; Pseudomonadati; Verrucomicrobiota; Opitutia; Opitutales; Opitutaceae. The record is from RNAcentral.
CGGGUGGCAGCAGUUUCGAAUCAUUCACAAUGGGCGAAAGCCUGAUGGUGCGACGCCGCGUGAGGGAUGAAGGCCUUCGGGUUGUAAACCUCUGUCACCGGGGAAGAAACGCUUCAAUUUAACAGAUUGAAGCCUGACUUAACCCGGAGAGGAAGCAGUGGCUAACUCUGUGCCAGCAGCCGCGGUAAUACAGAGACUGCAAGCGUUAUUCGGAUUCACUGGGCGUAAAGGGUGCGCAGGCGGCCGGGUGUGUCAGAUGUGAAAUCCCGAGGCUCAACCUCGGAACUGCGUCUGAAACUACUCGGCUAGAGUACUGGAGAGGGAAACGGAAUUCACGGUGUAGCAGUGAAAUGCGUAGAUAUCGUGAGGAACACCAGAGGCGAAGGCGGUUUCCUGGACAGUUACUGACGCUCAGGCACGAAAGCGUGGGGAGCAAAAGGGAUUAGAUACCCCAGU